Molecule: ribosomal RNA, 527 nt
Filed under: Klebsiella pneumoniae
Lineage: Bacteria; Pseudomonadati; Pseudomonadota; Gammaproteobacteria; Enterobacterales; Enterobacteriaceae
Description: bacterial SSU rRNA
Rfam family: Bacterial small subunit ribosomal RNA
Source: RNAcentral
AAAUUGAAGAGUUUGAUCAUGGCUCAGAUUGAACGCUGGCGGCAGGCCUAACACAUGCAAGUCGAGCGGUAGCACAGAGAGCUUGCUCUCGGGUGACGAGCGGCGGACGGGUGAGUAAUGUCUGGGAAACUGCCUGAUGGAGGGGGAUAACUACUGGAAACGGUAGCUAAUACCGCAUAACGUCGCAAGACCAAAGUGGGGGACCUUCGGGCCUCAUGCCAUCAGAUGUGCCCAGAUGGGAUUAGCUAGUAGGUGGGGUAACGGCUCACCUAGGCGACGAUCCCUAGCUGGUCUGAGAGGAUGACCAGCCACACUGGAACUGAGACACGGUCCAGACUCCUACGGGAGGCAGCAGUGGGGAAUAUUGCACAAUGGGCGCAAGCCUGAUGCAGCCAUGCCGCGUGUGUGAAGAAGGCCUUCGGGUUGUAAAGCACUUUCAGCGGGGAGGAAGGCGUUAAGGUUAAUAACCUUGUCGAUUGACGUUACCCGCAGAAGAAGCACCGGCUAACUCCGUGCCAGCAGCCGCG